AAAACGAAACUGAAAGAAAGAAAAACAAAAUAAAAACGGUUGGGUUACCUCCCAACAAGUGCUUAAUUUAACGUCUAGAGCUCGACGAUACCUCAUGGUCUCAAUGAACAUCAAACGCAGCAGGCGUGAUAGACCGCCUAACACGAACAGAGACAGAGGACUCAUGCGCAUCAGCUGCGUGAAAAACGACGCUUCCAUUCGGCACAUCUAUCAUAGCUCUUCCCGUAGCUAAGAAU
This 236-nucleotide long non-coding RNA is filed under the name Salvia miltiorrhiza (redroot sage). Its description in RNAcentral is "long non-coding RNA (SMIL_LNC009045)". The record is from RNAcentral. Lineage: Eukaryota; Viridiplantae; Streptophyta; Magnoliopsida; Lamiales; Lamiaceae.